This is a non-coding RNA of Cucurbita pepo subsp. pepo (vegetable marrow), 991 nucleotides long. NCBI's taxonomy places the organism in Eukaryota, Viridiplantae, Streptophyta, Magnoliopsida, Cucurbitales, Cucurbitaceae. The record is from RefSeq and is a predicted model, not a curated record.
GCGGCUGCUCCUGCCCAGUGCACAGCGACAAUAACCGCAACUAGAGUCAUCACCAUCUUUGUGUGUUCCAUUACAACUACUUCUGGGAAUGGGAAUGGAAGGACGAAAGGGACAGAUGGAGAGAAGUUUGAUUUGGUGAACCACUUUUCCUACUUCCCUAACAGUUUUCUUCGUUGGAGCUAUUGGGGCUAAGCUAGCUGGUCAACUUUGGCGCUUUGACACCUAAUGCCUGGACUUGGGAAGGUAUAUGGAGAUCGGUUAUCACGGCAACCAACUUCUUCAUCAGGUAAAAACUCAGAAACUUGGGACUUUUAGGAGUCUUUAAGGCUGUUGAUUUGGGUGGCUAAACUUUAAUGGCGUGUAGGAAGCGUAAUCCUAGUUUGAUCCUUCUUUUGGCUUCGACUUUUAUAUCUUUCUGUGUUUGGUCAAUGGUUAUCCUAACCCUUCGAGAAAUUUUGCUGCGGGUUAGAUAAACAAAAGUAUGAUGGGAAAAAGAAAAUAAGAACAGACGUCCUGCACAAGGCAUGUUCUUCCACUGAUCAAAAGAGGGGUACAUGUGCAGUGAUUGAUAUGCAGUAGGCCUGCGGCUCCAGCCCCCUCAAUAAGAGUUAUAGUCUCUUAGAAGCACAUGCACCGACGGUAUACAUUAAUACUGCUAAGUUUUGAAGCAAAAAUCUGCCAAAAUCAAAGGAACGGUGGGCAAGCCAAGGCUCAUUCGUUUUGUAGACUAUCGAAUUGAUGAAGUUGUAGAAAAUUGGGCGUAGUCCCGAGAUCGAAGCGAACUAAUGUAACCUUUUUAUUGAAUUUUUGGGAACUAACUUUAGGUAAGUUCAAUGACCAAAAGUGUUUUCUUAACCUAUGAAAAACAGCUAGUGUUUCUAUUGAACAAACUCAUCAAAGAAAUCACUAGGUAUUCAUCAAUAGUGUGUUUCUCUUGAUGAUGACAUAUAGGUUUAAAUACCAGGUUUAUGUUAUUUCAACUCUUGUUCAA